RNAcentral lists this long non-coding RNA (248 nucleotides) under Theobroma cacao (cacao). RNAcentral's name for it is "long non-coding RNA (TCAC_LNC000772)". The record is from RNAcentral. Lineage: Eukaryota; Viridiplantae; Streptophyta; Magnoliopsida; Malvales; Malvaceae.
CAAAUCACAUCCCUGUUAUGUGAUAAUGUGGCCAUUGUGUCACCUCUUUGCUUAUGGAAAAAGUCUAAUACUGGUAUGACACGAGUUGUUGAAUAGAGUAACCAUUCCACUCUUACCUCGUUUCAGGUGGGAUGCUUGUUUUAUUAUUUUGAUUUUUUUAAAGAAAUAAUCAUUCUCAACUCAUUCUAUAUGAUAAGAGAUUGUAUUAAUAUUUUUUGAAAUUAUUUUUAUGGCAUUUUAUUUUAGCA